This 600-nucleotide ribosomal RNA is filed under the name Aporrectodea haymozi. RNAcentral's name for it is "partial large subunit ribosomal RNA". It matches the Rfam family "Bacterial large subunit ribosomal RNA", at positions 1906 to 2760 of the family's 2925-position model. The record is from RNAcentral. Lineage: Eukaryota; Metazoa; Annelida; Clitellata; Crassiclitellata; Lumbricidae.
CAAGGGGGCAAGAAAUAGACGGCCACAGUUUAAAACAAGCAAGGUAGCAUAAUCAUUUGCCCAUUAAUUGUGGGCUAGAAUGAACGGACCAACGAAAUAAAGACUGUCUCUAUAAGCCCAAUAAAAAUUAAUCUCUAACUGAAGAGUGUUAGAUAGAAUCGAAGGACAAGAAGACCCUAUAGAGCUUUAUCCAACAACACAUUAUUAUUUGUUUUGAGGAUUCGGUUGGGGCGACCUGGGAAAUAAUUAAUCAUCCCCCAAAAAAAGAUGUAUAAAUCUCUAUUAUGACCCUUAAUAAAGAUCAAAAGACCAAGCUACCUUAGGGAUAACAGGCUAAUCCCUCUAAAGAGUCCUUAUCAAUAGUGGGGUUUGGCACCUCGAUGUUGGCUUAGGGAACCUAUGUGGCGCAAAAGUCACAUAAAGAUGGUUUGUUCAACCAAUAACACCCUACAUGAGCUGAGUUCAGACCGGCGUAAGCCAGGUUAGUUUCUAUCCUCGACAAUGCAACCUAUUUAUAGUACGAAAGGACCUAAAUAAGGAUAAUUAUUAUAUACUAAGAAUCAAUAUAAUAAAACCAUAAAAAUUUUAAUACAUAUCCUA